GUUGGGGUUGAUUUUUGCACAUGAUCGGACAGUCCAAAAUGUGCUAUCCCAUAUUCAUCAAUGGUGGCCCACUGGUUUGGUGCGAUCCAAUGGCCCAAAUCAGUUUGAAGCGAGAUCAGAUGGUCAAGCUUCAUUGCGGCAAGGAGAACUGAUUUGAAAUAAUUUCAUGCGCCUGGGAGAACUUAUCUGAAACAAUUUUAUGCACCAUCCAACAGUCCAAAUCAAAUAUCAAACUU
Molecule: long non-coding RNA, 236 nt
Filed under: Elaeis guineensis (African oil palm)
Lineage: Eukaryota; Viridiplantae; Streptophyta; Magnoliopsida; Arecales; Arecaceae
Description: long non-coding RNA (EGUI_LNC019186)
Source: RNAcentral